UGUUAUUGCAGCUUAUUCAUCUAUAAAAAAAAGGAGAUGGAUUGAUGUUACUCUAAACCUCCAUCUGCCUUUUGUAAUCUAUGGUUUUCACCGUAGGAUAGAGGGUCCAGCAGUUUAAGACCAUUGCCAGGUGUUCUUCAGAAUUCUCUGCCCCACACCUUCUAGCACUAUGAAAGUUAGUCAGCAAGGAGACAAUUUCCUGGUCAGUUCAAGAUUGAUUUCUCUAUGUCCUGCAGCCAAAGUUGGUGGUGUCUUCAGCAACAGGGUCCUAACAUCUAGUUAUGGGGGGAAGCCUGUCUUCUUUUGAGUGCCUCCAGGACCAGCCAGAAGAGAGUAUCUGAGAAACCUCCUUCCCCAAUACUUAUUUACUGAAGUCAAUCAUUACUACCCUUCUAUCUCUGCAGCUGUGGUUAGGAAAUUUUUUCUGGAAGACUGGUGCUCUAUUGGGCAACUUCUGAGCAAGCAUGGAUUAUUAUUAUUAGAUGUUUAGACUGUUCUGGAUGGAGCUGAAGCCUGCACAGGACUUUGCCUUACUGUCUAUCUUCCCUCCCUUUACCUUAAACUAUCCACUUGUUUUCUUUCUUCUUCCUGCAAGUCACUGUGAUCCCUAAGAGUUCUCUGUGUUCAUGGAUGUCUUCAUGUUAUUAUCAUUUUGACAAAAUUGAUGAUAAAUAGAGAACUGGAAGGUCAUAUUGACUCAACUACAGAGGAAGAAGGGGGAGAAACUGAGCAAGAACCAGAACCUUCGUCCAGCGAUGGAUGGAGAUAGAGACAGAGACCCACAUUGGAGCACUGGACUGAGCUCCCAAGGUCCACUUGAAGAGCAGAAGGAGGGAGAAGAUGAGCAAGGAAGUCAGGACAGUGAGGGGUUGGUCUACCCUCUAAGACAGUGUGCCUGAUCUAAUAGGAGCUCACCAAAUCCAGCUGGACUAGGACUGAACAAGCAUGUGAUCAAACCUGACUCUCCGAAUGUGGCUGACAAUGGGGGCUGACUGAGAAGUCAUUAAUAAUGGCACUGAGACUUGUUUCUACUGCAUGUACUGGCUUUUGGGGAUCCUAGUCUGUUUGGAUGCGCACUUUCCUAGGUCUGGAUGGAGGGGGAGGGCCUUGGACUUCCCACAGGGCAGGGUACCCUGCCCUCUCUUAAGGAGGGA
Long non-coding RNA from Alexandromys fortis (reed vole), 1154 nucleotides. RefSeq lists it as uncharacterized. The record is from RefSeq and is a predicted model, not a curated record. NCBI's taxonomy places the organism in Eukaryota, Metazoa, Chordata, Mammalia, Rodentia, Cricetidae. The transcript has 3 exons.